This 498-nucleotide ribosomal RNA is filed under the name uncultured Glomeromycotina. RNAcentral's name for it is "partial small subunit ribosomal RNA". It matches the Rfam family "Eukaryotic small subunit ribosomal RNA", at positions 591 to 1092 of the family's 1831-position model. Lineage: Eukaryota; Fungi; Glomeromycota. The record is from RNAcentral.
CCAAUAGCGUAUAUUAAAGUUGUUGCAGUUAAAAAGCUCGUAGUUGAAUUUCGGGAUCAAUAUGUCGGUCGUGCCUUCGGUACGUACUGGUAUCAUUGGUCUCUCCUUUCUGACGAACCAUGAUGUCAUUAAUUUGGUGUUAUGGGGAGUUAGGACUGUUACUUUGGAAAAAUUAGAGUGUUUAAAGCAGGCUCACGCUUGAAUACAUUAGCAUGGAAUAACGAAAUAGGACGUUUGAUUUUAUUUUGUUGGUUUCUAGGAUCGACGUAAUGAUUAAUAGGGAUAGUUGGGGGCAUUAGUAUUCAAUUGUCAGAGGUGAAAUUCUUGGAUUUAUUGAAGACUAACUACUGCGAAAGCAUUUGCCAAGGAUGUUUUCAUUAAUCAAGAACGAAAGUUAGGGGAUCGAAGACGAUCAGAUACCGUCGUAGUCUUAACCAUAAACUAUGCCGACUAGGGAUCGGAUGAUGUUAAUAUUAAUGACUCAUUCGGCACCUUACG